Molecule: long non-coding RNA, 1894 nt
Organism: Oncorhynchus tshawytscha (Chinook salmon)
Lineage: Eukaryota; Metazoa; Chordata; Actinopteri; Salmoniformes; Salmonidae
Exons: 4
Source: RefSeq, a predicted model, not a curated record
GCUGAGUAGGUGGGGCGGGGCCGAGUGUGGGUGAAUUUGUCCAAAUGCAAAAGACAUGCAUCUCAUUAACCAGCCUGAUAAUAGCUCAUUUCUAAUUGUAUUAAUUUCUCUAAACUCUGAAUAAAACUACCUACUCCACAGUAGACCUAUACAGUAGUAGACCAUAUAGACAAUCUACCCUAUUUAAAAACAGACUGAAGACAGAAACAGACCAUUUGGUUCCAUUUCAACAUAUUUAUUAUUUUAUUAGUUCAACGUUUUUUAAAGUGUUUAAAUCAAAAGGCUAUUGGACAGAAAAACUUGAGCAUUCGGUGCAUCGCGAAUUAGGAACCGCUGGACAGCAACGUAAUAAACGAACGCGCUGAUCAUUGGGAACGAGAUCAGAAUGACUGCUAAGGCCUGAUCCAUAAAUUAAAUCAUUCAAUAGGUAGCCUAGCCUACAAAACUAAAACAAAAGGCCUGAUUCACAUGACAUCAAUACCACAGCAACAUCCCAAGUCCCCGGUGUCGACACGUUCAGAAAUCAAAAGAUAAUUUUAAAACUCUGACGAAGACCAAGAGAACAAGAAACACUUUUCAGAGAGGAAACAAAAAUCCACUUUGGGCAAUUAGGAGUCACAGCCGCCUCUCCCCCUCCAUGGAUGAGGCAGCCAGCUGACAAGGCUGCUGUGGUUCCCGCCAAUGGCGGAGGUUGGACUAUGGCUGGCAAAAGAAGCAUCCAGAUUCAGACUUACGGGGUUCCAUGGCCAAGACAAAGACCCGAAGACAUUCAAGCAGCACUUUGAGAGUAAGCAUCCCAGUACUGGUUGAUGUGCUGGCCUAAGUGGACCAAAUGGACCUACUGCUGGGACAGACGAUGACCACGAUUUGAAAUCUGCAACUGAGAUGGAAUAACAUUGAGGGACACACGCUGACACCGAGUAUGACUGGACAUGGGCCGGAUAUUUGGGACAACAACCUGAAAGGGGUGCAUAAGCACACCAGCACCCCAAUUUAUGUUAUUCCAUGGCCAACCAUCCCACUAGCUACCCCUUAUUCCACACUAUGCCGUGUAUGCCCCCUCAACUCCAGACACUUUGGAACUAUCCACCUUCCCAACCUACCUUCACUGAUUUUCGCUAUGCUGCUUCCUUCACUUGUUCUUCUAAUAGCAUCUAGAAUCAGUAACACCUUUAAAUGUGGUCCUGCUUUAAAUGACGUUCUGCUUAUAAAGCCUUCAUAAUGCCGUCAUAAGCACAACACAAGUGUUGCAAAGCAUCUAUAACCGUAUGUCAUGCUUUAUAAAGGGUUCAUAAAUGUGGCAUAACUGUGUUACAUAAUCACCCAUGUCAAAUGUGACAACACUUAUGUUGAAUAUGAUACAAUCAAGUGCUUUAUAACGGGUGACAUGUUGUGUUGCGUUGGCACAGGAUGGCACAUGCGCUACAGUGAAGUCAUGUUAGCCACAUUACACCUAAUCUCGAUCCCAGACACCCAAAUGCACAGAAGGUCUAGUGGACCAAUGCAUGAAACUUGGCCUUCAUUAGUUAGGGUUGGGUUUCACAUGAAAUUUGAAUCAGAUUGAUUGAGGAAAUGGGCAGUGAUUAGCCAUAAUUAUGACUCUGUGGCUGUACUUCAUAAGUCAUCAGAACCUUAAUGACCUAUUUAAGGACACUUUAUCUGGUGUCCUGUAAUACUUUGUUUGAAGUGAUACAACUUCGGUCAUUCAUAACACAUCCGUAAAGACUCUAUAUCCCAUAGCGCUGUACUUUAAAGUCUCCUUUAGUCAUUCAUAGCACAUACAUAAAUGCCUUGUAUCAUAUGACGCUGUACUUACUAUAAAGUCAGACACAUUUGGUCAUUUCUAAACACACAUAGAUGCCUUGUAUCAUAUGACGCUGUACUUACUAUAAAG